GGAAGGCAGCAGGAAGGAUGGGGAGUCCCUGGAGUUUGUAGCCACCUUUGAAUGGGGAACAGAUCCUCUGUGCCUCACUCGGACACCUUCUGCCUUUUUCCUUGAAGGCACCAACAGGAAAAGCUGGUGGCCCUGGGGAUGCUGCUGACCGCACACGCGCUGAAGAAACAGAAAAGAAGGUGGGAUGUCCAGUUCCCAAGGACCAAGGCUCUGUGUUUGAGAGUGUAGGGAGCAAUGUUCUCUCCUGGAUCUCCCAGGGGCUGGAGAAGGUGAUUCCCCAGCCAGCCCCAGGGACAAUGCAGUCACUUGGGAAGAGCUUUGAGACAAGCAUUGAUGUUCCUGAUCAGACAGAGGUCCAGAUCCUCGCGGACAAGGAAGAGGAUGCUCUGGAGAUAAUCCCCAUCGAUCUGGAGGAGGACGAACUGGAUGACUGCAAUGACAACACUGGCCCAGAUACUGGCACAGAGGAAUGGGCAGGAGCACGAGUGCUCAGCUGGCUGGUGCAGGGCUUUGAGAGGAUUGUGCCACAGCCGGAGGUGCUGAAAAAGCCAGAGCUGGAGCCAAAGGAGCAGAAGUGUGAAGCUGUGGCGGGAGGCACAAAAGGGGCUAAAACCCAGGCAAAGUCAAAAAGCAGUGUUUCAGCCACUCAGAGCAUCCCAGUAGCAGUGGAGCCAGCAGUGGUCAAGGCACAGCCGGAGCCGGUGGCUACCGUUGUCCCACGGUCCCCAGCUGGGGACGGCAGCAGGAUGUUUGCCUGGUUUGUCCAGGGGCUGGAGAAGGUGAUGCCGCAGCCGGUCACCAGGGAGAAGCAGGACACACAGGGAGUGGCUGCAGCAACCUUGAGUCCCGUGGAAGAAAGUAAGUGGUUGCUCCAUCUCACCAUGCUGGUUAGCUUGCCAAGGUCAGACGGGUUACUGGGAAGAGAGGCUGCUGGUGGCCUUUAUCCCCCAGUCUGCUGUGGGUGCCAGCUGGGGAGCCCCUGAAAUCCCCCGGGGAAGCCAUGAGAGGCUGUUGCUGCUUGAGAAGCAGGAGCAGAUCUGGAGUUGUUGCUCGGGCUGGGUAAAACUCAGGCUGUAGGAGUCUCUGAGUGUGGCAUCCCAAUCCUCAGGUCCUGGGUUUUGAGGUUAGUGCUGAUAUCAAGGUCUGUCCUCGAGCUGUGCUGGAAGAUGUUUGCCAAGCUGGUGGAAUUUGAUCAAAGGAUUACAAGGGGAUUCAAACCCUCCACCUUCAUCAUCCCUUUUGUCAUGUGUGCAGAGCCUGGUGUGAGAUGUCUAGGGAGGUACCUUGGGAAAACAAUAUCCUGGGAUAAGAUGUCUUAGAAGUGAGUCUGAAUGGUGGUAGAAAAGCAUUGUGGGUUCACACCACUGCUUGCUUGCCGAUGGAGGGGAGCAAGCACGAGCCCUGUGAGCAGAUGGGCCUGGCUCCCCCCACCAGCCACAGUGUGGGGUGCUGAGCAAAGCAGGGACCCUGCCUGGGAGCCACCCUGCCUUCACGGCUGGAGCAGGCAGGGGAGAUGUCAUGCAGCCCUGUGCAGGUGCCAUCCCCGGGGAGGGGUGGUUGGUUGGGCUGUGGGAGCUGCUGAUGGGAGCAGGGACUCGCUGCGGCACGAGGGGGCUGUGCAUCGCCCAAGAGACAUGCCAGGAGGUUCCUCCCACCAAGCCAGCAGCCACUUGGUGGGAUCUCAGAGCAGGAAAUCCUGUGGGAAGUAGUUUCUCUGUGUCUGUACAAAUUGGAGACCUGAGCGCUGCCCUGGACCUUGGAAUGAGGCAAAGCCAGUGGGAUGCUGCUGCAUGUGUGGGGCAGUCACGCCCAUUGUGCGUGGCUGGCUUGCUUACAGCUCGUUUUGGUGCCUUGAGGCAUCUCAAGGUCACUUAAUCUGCCCAAGGAGCAGAGUGAUUAGGUCAAGUAAGAAACCUAACCCAGCACCAAAAUGCCAGCACGCUCACUAAUGUUUUCCUUCUCCUUUUGUUUCAGGGGGCAAAGGGGCUUAACGCCUCUGAAACAAAUGGAAAAUGAAGACCAUGGUGAGCCAGCCCUUCCCACAACCAAAUGAGACCAAUCCAAGGAGAAAACACACCUGGGGAGGAAAAGCAAAUGGUCUCUAGCUCCUUUACAGCUGGGGCAGUGGGGACUGGAGGCUGGCUGCAUGUCCCCAGUCCCAGGGCUGUCCUAUCCCAGCUCCCUCUUGGCUCUGGGAACUGGAGCUAUUGGUUUUGCAAGAUGAUGUCUAUGAGACGGGAGCUAGAAUUUAUAGGAAGAUAGAAAAGCAUCACUCAGGACACCUCAGAGGCAGAAAGCCUCCUGUUGCAGGCUCCCAGCACUCCUGACCCUCUCAACCCACCCCUAGCAUCUGAAUAUUCACCCCCAAGACCUCCAGCUGAAGCCCACAGGCUUCUUUCAGUCAACUUCUGCCUCCGAGGUGUAAUGAUAUAAAGCUCUUUAAGCUCUCGUUAGAUUCUUAUGCUUUUCUUCCAUUAACUGAGUGUUUUCUCCCAGCAAGUGGAAAGGGCUCUGGUUUGUAGCAGCAAAUGCAGGUGGGUGAGGUUAAUCUCUAGGUCAAUAGGUAGGAGUUAAUGGUUAAAAGCCUUUUCCAAGGCUCUCCUUAUAGGAGAAUUUAUCACAAACUCUCCUUACCCCCAACCACAUCCGCUCUGUCCUGAAGCUCACAGCUCUUGAGAUGCAGCACUAACCAUGGUGGCAGGAGUGUCCCGGCAGGGCAGGGAUCUUGGGGGCUGUCUCCAGCCCAGAAGUGUGCAGGCAGGCAUAGGCAGGGCAGGCAUGUGGGGCUGGAUGGGGUGAGAGCCCCUACACCCCAGGCUUUGAAUACAGACCUUAGAAUUGCAGAAUAGUUUGAGCUGGAAGUGACCUUCAAAGGUGAUCUGGUUGAACCCCCUGAGAUGGGCAGGGACACUUCCACUAGCCCAGGUUGCCCAAAGCCCCGUCUAACCCAGCCUUGAACUCUUCCAGGGAGGGGGCAGCCACAGCUUCUCUGGGCAACCUGUGCCAGUGUCUCACCACUCUUACUGUACAACAUUUCUUCCUUGUGUCCAAUCUAAAUCUACCUUCUUUCAGUUUAAAACUGUUGCCCUUGUCCUGUGACUACAGGCCCUGGUGAAUCCAUCUGUUGUAUAAGCCUCCUUGAUACAUCGAAAGGUCACAAUAAAGUGUCCCACCACAUCA
This 3180-nucleotide long non-coding RNA is filed under the name Athene cunicularia (burrowing owl). Its description in RNAcentral is "lncRNA (ENSACUG00000010050.1)". The record is from RNAcentral. Lineage: Eukaryota; Metazoa; Chordata; Aves; Strigiformes; Strigidae.